This 408-nucleotide ribosomal RNA is filed under the name uncultured bacterium. RNAcentral describes it as "partial 16S ribosomal RNA". It matches the Rfam family "Bacterial small subunit ribosomal RNA", at positions 28 to 526 of the family's 1533-position model. The record is from RNAcentral.
GACGAACGCUGGCGGCGUGCUUAAAACAUGCAAGUCGAACGAAGUGGCGAACGGGUGAGUAACGCGUAAUCAACCUGCCCUUCAGAGGGGGACAACAGUGGGAAACGAAUGCUAAUACCGCAUAAUGACGGAGGGGAUUGCGUCUGAGUAGCUAGUUGGAGGGGUAACGGCCCACCAAGGCGAGGUUCAGUAGCCGGUCUGAGAGGCUGACCGGCCACAUUGGGACUGGGACACGGCCCAGACUCCUACGGGAGGCAGCAGUGGGGAUUCUUCCGCAAUGGCCGAAAGUCUGACGGACCAACGCCGCGUGGGUGAUGACGUCCGUCGGGUUGUAAAGCUCUGUUAAUCGGGACGCGGUACCCUAAUAGAAGGCCACGGCUAACUACGUGCCAGCAGCCGCGGUAAUAC